Molecule: ribosomal RNA, 584 nt
Filed under: Schizochytrium aggregatum
Lineage: Eukaryota; Bigyra; Thraustochytrida; Thraustochytriidae
Description: partial Bacterial large subunit ribosomal RNA
Rfam family: Bacterial large subunit ribosomal RNA
Source: RNAcentral
GGGAGUGAAAUAGUACCUGAAACCAUGUGCUUACAAUCCGUCAGAGCACCUCUUGUGUGUGAUGGCGUGCCUUUUGAAGAAUGAGCCUGCGAGUUAGCGAUAUGUGGCGAGGUUAACCCGUGUGGGGUAGCCGUAGCGAAAGCGAGUCUUAAGAGGGCGAUCCAGUCGCAUGUCCUAGACCCGAAGCGAAGUGAUCUAUCCAUGGCCAGGUUGAAGCGACGGUAAGACGUCGUGGAGGACCGAACCCACUUCAGUUGAAAAUGGAGGGGAUGAGCUGUGGAUAGGGGUGAAAGGCCAAUCAAACUUCGUGAUAGCUGGUUCUCUCCGAAAUGCAUUUAGGUGCAGCGUCACGUGUUUCUUGCCGGAGGUAGAGCUACUGGAUGGCCGAUGGGGCCCAAAAGCUUACUGACGUCAGCCAAACUCCGAAUGCCGGUUUAAGUUAGCGCAGCAGUGAGACUGUGGGGGAUAAGCUUCAUAGUCGAGAGGGAAACAGCCCAGAUCGCCGGCUAAGGCCCCUAAGCGUGUACUAAGUGGAAAAGGAUGUGGGAUCGCGAUGACAGCCAGGAGGUUGGCUUAGAAGCAGC